RNAcentral lists this ribosomal RNA (440 nucleotides) under uncultured bacterium. Its description in RNAcentral is "partial 16S ribosomal RNA". It matches the Rfam family "Bacterial small subunit ribosomal RNA", at positions 338 to 795 of the family's 1533-position model. The record is from RNAcentral.
GCUACGGGAGGCAGCAGUGGGGAAUAUUGCACAAUGGGGGAAACCCUGAUGCAGCGACGCCGCGUGAGUGAAGAAGUAAUUCGUUACGUAAAGCUCUAUCAGCAGGGAAGAAAAUGACGGUACCUGAGUAAGAAGCCCCGGCCAACUACGUGCCAGCAGCAGCGGUAAUACGUAGGGGGCAAGCGUAAGCAGGAUUUACUGGGUGUAAAGGGAGCGUAGACGGGGCGCCAAGUCUGGAGUGAAAUGCCACAGCUUAACUGCGGAACUGCUUUGGAAACUGGCUAACUAGAUUGCGGGUCGGGUAAGCGGAAUUCCGAGUGUAGCGGUGAAAUGCGUAGAUAUUAGGAGGAACACCGGUGGCGCAGGCGGCUUACUGGACCGUAACUGACGUUGAGGCUCGAAAGCGUGGGGAGCAAACAGGAUUAGAUACCCGUGUAGUC